This 500-nucleotide ribosomal RNA is filed under the name uncultured bacterium. Its description in RNAcentral is "bacterial SSU rRNA". It matches the Rfam family "Bacterial small subunit ribosomal RNA", at positions 29 to 518 of the family's 1533-position model. The record is from RNAcentral.
AUUGAACGCUGGCGGCAUGCCUAACACAUGCAAGUCGAACGGCAGCACAGUGCGUAGCAAUACGUAUGGGUGGCGAGUGGCGGACGGGUGAGGAAUGCAUCGGAAUCUACCCAGUAGCGGGGGAUAAUCUGGGGAAACUCAGGCUAAUACCGCAUACGACCUAUGGGUGAAAGCGGGGGACCGUAAGGCCUCGCACUAUUGGAUGAGCCGAUGCCGGAUAGCUAGUUGGUAGGGUAACGGCCUACCAAGGCGACGAUCCGUAGCUGGUCUGAGAGGACGAUCAGCCACACCGGAACUGAGACACGGUCCGGACUCCUACGGGAGGCAGCAGUGGGAAUAUUGGACAAUGGGGGAAACCCUGAUCCAGCAAUGCCGCGUGUGUGAAGAAGGCCUGCGGGUUGUAAAGCACUUUCGGAGGGGACAAAAGCGUCGGGCUAACACCCAGGCGUCUUGAUUUAACCCUUAUAAGAAGCACCGGCUAACUCUGUGCCAGCAGCCGC